CCUACGGGUGGCUGCAGUGGGGAAUUUUGGACAAUGGGGGCAACCCUGAUCCAGCCAUGCCGCGUGCGGGAAGAAGGCCUUCGGGUUGUAAACCGCUUUUAGCCGGAAAGAAAAGGCGCCUCCUAAUACGGGGUGUUCUUGACGGUACCGGCGGAAUAAGCACCGGCUAACUACGUGCCAGCAGCCGCGGUAAUACGUAGGGUGCGAGCGUUAAUCGGAAUUACUGGGCGUAAAGCGUGCGCAGGCGGUUCGUUAAGUCUGAUGUGAAAGCCCCGGGCUCAACCUGGGAAUGGCAUUGGAAACUGGCGGGCUGGAGUGUGGCAGAGGGGGGUGGAAUUCCGCGUGUAGCAGUGAAAUGCGUAGAGAUGCGGAGGAACACCGAUGGCGAAGGCAGCCCCCUGGGCCAACACUGACGCUCAGGCACGAAAGCGUGGGGAGCAAACAGGAUUAGAUACCCCAGUAGUC
This 465-nucleotide ribosomal RNA is filed under the name uncultured bacterium. RNAcentral's name for it is "bacterial SSU rRNA". It matches the Rfam family "Bacterial small subunit ribosomal RNA", at positions 338 to 795 of the family's 1533-position model. The record is from RNAcentral.